CCUACGGGAGGCAGCAGUGGGGAAUAUUGCACAAUGGGGGAAACCCUGAUGCAGCGACGCCGCGUGAGUGAAGAAGUAAUUCGUUACGUAAAGCUCUAUCAGCAGGGAAGAAAAUGACGGUACCUGAGUCAGAAGCCCCGGCUAAACACGUGCCAGCAGCCGCGGUAAUACGGAGGGGGCAAGCGUUAUCCGGAUUUACUGGGGGUAAAGGGAGCUUAGACGGUGCGCCAAGUCUGGAGUGAAAGGCCGCAGCGUAACUGGGGAACUGCUUUGGAAACUGGCGAACUAGAGUGCGGGAGGGGUAAGCGGAAUGCGUGGUGUAGCGGUGAAAUGCGUAGAUAUUAGGAGGAACACCGAUGGCGAAGGCAGCUUACUAAACCGUAACUGACGUUGAGGCUCGAAAGCGUGGGGAGCAAACAGGAUUAGAUACCCUUGUAGUC
This 440-nucleotide ribosomal RNA is filed under the name uncultured bacterium. Its description in RNAcentral is "partial 16S ribosomal RNA". It matches the Rfam family "Bacterial small subunit ribosomal RNA", at positions 338 to 795 of the family's 1533-position model. The record is from RNAcentral.